This 499-nucleotide ribosomal RNA is filed under the name uncultured bacterium. RNAcentral's name for it is "partial 16S ribosomal RNA". It matches the Rfam family "Bacterial small subunit ribosomal RNA", at positions 28 to 507 of the family's 1533-position model. The record is from RNAcentral.
GACGAACGCUGGCGGCGUGCCUAAUACAUGCAAGUCGAGCGGACCGACCAGGAGCUUGCUCUUGUUCGGUUAGCGGCGGACGGGUGAGUAACACGUGGGUAACCUGCCCGUAAGACCGGGAUAACUCCGGGAAACCGGAGCUAAUACCGGAUAACACCUAAGACCGCAUGGUCUUUGGUUGAAAGGCGGCUUCGGCUGCCACUUACGGAUGGGCCCGCGGCGCAUUAGCUAGUUGGUGAGGUAACGGGUCACCAAGGCGACGAUGCGUAGCCGGCCUGGGAGGGUGGACGGCCACACUGGGAAUGAGACCACGCCCAGACUGCUAAGGGAGGGAGCAGUAAGGAAUCUUCCGGAAUGGGGGAAAGGCUGGAGGAGCGACGCCGCGUGAGCGAAGAAGGUCUUCGGAUCGUAAAGAUCUGUUGUUAGGGAAGAAGAAGCGUCGUACGAAAAGGGCGGCGCGGUGACGGUACCUAACGAGAAAGCCCCGGCUAACUACGUG